UCCUCUUUACAGAGGCAGUUUGUCCCGAGUCCCCGGCAUUACCCGCUGGUAACAGAACAUGAGGGUUGCGCUCGUUGCGGGACUUAACCCAACAUUUCACAACACGAGCUGACGACAGCCAUGCACCACCUGUGCACCACCUUCGAAAGCGGCUCCUUUUCGGGAGCUUGCAGGUGCAUGUCAAGCCUGGGUAAGGUUCUUCGCGUUGCAUCGAAUUAAGCCACAUGCUCCACCGCUUGUGCGGGCCCCCGCCAAUUCCUUUGAGUUUUAGCCUUGCGGCCGUACUCCCCAGGCGGGGUGCUUAAUGCGUUAGCUUCGGCACGGAUGGAGUCGACACCACCCACACCUAGCACCCAUCGUUUACGGCGUGGACUAC
Molecule: unclassified non-coding RNA, 376 nt
Filed under: uncultured bacterium
Lineage: Bacteria
Description: contains 16S-23S intergenic spacer region
Source: RNAcentral